CUUUAGUUGCCAUCAUUAAGUUGGGCACUCUAAAGAGACUGCCGGUGGUCAAACCGGAGGAAGGUGGGGAUGACGUCAAGUCCUCAUGGCCUUUAUGACCAGGGCUACACACGUACUACAAUGGCAGGUACAAAGGGCAGCCACUUAGCGAUAAGGCGCGAAUCCCAUAAAACCUGUCUCAGUCCGGAUUGAAGUCUGCAACUCGACUUCAUGAAGGCGGAAUCGCUAGUAACCGCGAAUCAGCAGGUCCGCGGUCGAAUACGUUCCCGGGCCUU
Molecule: ribosomal RNA, 275 nt
Filed under: uncultured Desulfocapsa sp.
Lineage: Bacteria; Pseudomonadati; Thermodesulfobacteriota; Desulfobulbia; Desulfobulbales; Desulfocapsaceae
Description: partial 16S ribosomal RNA
Rfam family: Bacterial small subunit ribosomal RNA
Source: RNAcentral